UUUGAUCCUGGCUCAGAUUGAACGCUGGCGGCAUGCCUUACACAUGCAAGUCGAACGGUAACGCGGGGCAACCUGGCGACGAGUGGCGAACGGGUGAGUAAUGCAUCGGAACGUGCCCAGUAGUGGGGGAUAGCCCGGCGAAAGCCGGAUUAAUACCGCAUACGACCUACGGGUGAAAGCGGGGGACUCGCAAGAGCCUCGCGCUAUUGGAGCGGCCGAUGUCAGAUUAGGUAGUUGGUGGGGUAAAAGCCUACCAAGCCGACGAUCUGUAGCUGGUCUGAGAGGACGACCAGCCACACUGGGACUGAGACACGGCCCAGACUCCUACGGGAGGCAGCAGUGGGGAAUUUUGGACAAUGGGCGCAAGCCUGAUCCAGCCAUGCCGCGUGCGGGAAGAAGGCCU
Molecule: ribosomal RNA, 403 nt
Filed under: uncultured bacterium
Lineage: Bacteria
Description: bacterial SSU rRNA
Rfam family: Bacterial small subunit ribosomal RNA
Source: RNAcentral